CCUACGGGUGGCUGCAGUGGGGAAUAUUGCACAAUGGGCGCAAGCCUGAUGCAGCCAUGCCGCGUGUGUGAAGAAGGCCUUCGGGUUGUAAAGCACUUUCAGCGGGGAGGAAGGCGUUAAGGUUAAUAACCUUGUCGAUUGACGUUACCCGCAGAAGAAGCACCGGCUAACUCCGUGCCAGCAGCCGCGGUAAUACGGAGGGUGCAAGCGUUAAUCGGAAUUACUGGGCGUAAAGCGCACGCAGGGGGUCUGUCAAGUCGGAUGUGAAAUCCCCGGGCUCAACCUGGGAACUGCAUUCGAAACUGGCAGGCUAGAGUCUUGUAGAGGGGGGUAGAAUUCCAGGUGUAGCGGUGAAAUGCGUAGAGAUCUGGAGGAAUACCGGUGGCGAAGGCGGCCCCCUGGACAAAGACUGACGCUCAGGUGCGAAAGCGUGGGGAGCAAACAGGAUUAGAUACCCCUGUAGUC
RNAcentral lists this ribosomal RNA (465 nucleotides) under uncultured Klebsiella sp. RNAcentral describes it as "bacterial SSU rRNA". It matches the Rfam family "Bacterial small subunit ribosomal RNA", at positions 338 to 795 of the family's 1533-position model. The record is from RNAcentral. Lineage: Bacteria; Pseudomonadati; Pseudomonadota; Gammaproteobacteria; Enterobacterales; Enterobacteriaceae.